AUGCCAAUAACCCAGAGCACGUUUUUCUCCCAUCACGGAAUAUCCAGACCCUCCUCCGCAACGCUGUGGAGGAUGGUCAUCAGAGGCAGAUGACACUGACAGGACUGAUUCUUAUAAAUGUUACUUAUAAAAGGUCAGUAACCGCCCUCAAUUGUCUGUAAAGUAGCAUAACUGACCUGAGUGCAGGCUGGUAGUUUGAGACUGAGGAGCCACUGGCUGGAUGGAAGUAACUAGAGCUGGUCUGAGGUAAGCAGUGGUACAGGGUCUCCGGGUAAGAAGAGCAGGGGUUGAGCUGGGUCAUGGCGCUGAGAGAGGACAGGCAGGAGGAAGAGGAGGAGGAGCAGGUGGAGGAGGAAGAAGUAGUAGUCAAGGGUCUCCCCGUCAUGGGUCCCUGGUUGAUGACGGAGCCUCGGUGCACCAACGCUGCUGGAGAAAUGGGGGGCGUCAUGAGGGGCCCGCUGACCAUCUGACCACCUGAGCGUGAAGAGGGAAAACACACAGGGGCCGUUCUGCAGGUCCUGCUCCUUGUCGUUGUUGAACUGAGUCUCCAGAGCCAACAGGAUGUACUCGUCUAACAGCAUCCUGAUCAGAUGGAAGGAACCUGUCAACGUUGAAAAUACAAAAAGAAAAAAAAAAAAUUAUGAGUUUGACCUUUGCGUCAGGCUGCUCUUUGUUUGACCUGCAGGGACGCAGCUUUAAAAGCGUCUGUGUGUGUUUGAGCUUCACUAGGACUCUUCAGACCAAAUGGUCAGUGUUGAUUCACCUACACGUUUUCUCUGUGUGUGCGUGUGUUUGAACAGCGAGCAUGCGACCCGCAGAUAAGACUUUGUUUAAUCAAGGCGAGUCUGGCCAUUUAAAUUUAUGGCGCUAUUGUAACAAUCUGCUCCAAGCCGGCUCGUAUUAGCCGUGUGUGUGUGUGUGUG
Molecule: long non-coding RNA, 923 nt
Organism: Perca flavescens (yellow perch)
Lineage: Eukaryota; Metazoa; Chordata; Actinopteri; Perciformes; Percidae
Exons: 3
Source: RefSeq, a predicted model, not a curated record